UCGGAACGUGUCCUGUUGUGGGGGAUAACUGAUCGAAAGAUCAGCUAAUACCGCAUGAGACCUGAGGGUGAAAGCGGGGGAUCGCAAGACCUCGCGCGACAGGAGCGGCCGAUGUCUGAUUAGCUAGUUGGUGAGAUAAAAGCUUACCAAGGCGACGAUCAGUAGCUGGUCUGAGAGGAUGAUCAGCCACAUUAGGACUGAGACACGGUCCAAACUCCUACGGGAGGCAGCAUG
This 234-nucleotide ribosomal RNA is filed under the name uncultured bacterium. RNAcentral's name for it is "partial 16S ribosomal RNA". It matches the Rfam family "Bacterial small subunit ribosomal RNA", at positions 118 to 353 of the family's 1533-position model. The record is from RNAcentral.